This 497-nucleotide ribosomal RNA is filed under the name uncultured bacterium. RNAcentral describes it as "partial 16S ribosomal RNA". It matches the Rfam family "Bacterial small subunit ribosomal RNA", at positions 28 to 507 of the family's 1533-position model. The record is from RNAcentral.
GACGAACGCUGGCGGCGUGCCUAAUACAUGCAAGUUGAGCGCUGAAGGUUGGUACUUGUACCAACUGGAUGAGCAGCGAACGGGUGAGUAACGCGUGGGGAAUCUGCCUUUGAGCGGGGGACAACAUUUGGAAACGAAUGCUAAUACCGCAUAAAAACUUUAAACACAAGUUUUAAGUUUGAAAGAUGCAAUUGCAUCACUCAAAGAUGAUCCCGCGCUGUAUUAGCUAGUUGGUGAGGUAAAGGCUCACCAAGGCGAUGAUACAUAGCCGACCUGAGAGGGUGAUCGGCCACAUUGGGACUGAGACACGGCCCAAACUCCUACGGGAGGCAGCAGUAGGGAAUCUUCGGCAAUGGACGAAAGUCUGACCGAGCAACGCCGCGUGAGUGAAGAAGGUUUUCGGAUCGUAAAACUCUGUUGGUAGAGAAGAACGUUGGUGAGAGUGGAAAGCUCAUCAAGUGACGGUAACUACCCAGAAAGGGACGGCUAACUACGUG